UAACCUACGGGACGCAGCAGUAGGGAAUCUUCCACAAUGGACGAAAGUCUGAUGGAGCAACGCCGCGUGAGUGAAGAAGGGUUUCGGCUCGUAAAGCUCUGUUGGUAGUGAAGAAAGAUAGAGGUAGUAAAUUGCCUUUAUUUGACGGUCAUUACUUAGAAAGUCACGGCUAAAUUCGUGCCAGCAUCCGCGGCAAUACGUAGGUGGCAAGCGUUUUCCGGAUUUAUUGGGCGUAAACUGCGUUCAGGCUG
This 251-nucleotide ribosomal RNA is filed under the name uncultured bacterium. RNAcentral describes it as "partial 16S ribosomal RNA". It matches the Rfam family "Bacterial small subunit ribosomal RNA", at positions 335 to 578 of the family's 1533-position model. The record is from RNAcentral.